RNAcentral lists this long non-coding RNA (206 nucleotides) under Elaeis guineensis (African oil palm). RNAcentral's name for it is "long non-coding RNA (EGUI_LNC040284)". The record is from RNAcentral. Lineage: Eukaryota; Viridiplantae; Streptophyta; Magnoliopsida; Arecales; Arecaceae.
ACCUCUCGAUCUGUCAUUUCUCCACACCACCACCACUCCCACAUCAUUUCCAUUACUUCUCAUUAGAGAAAAAGAAGAGCACCACGACAAAAUUAUAAAAUCAGUAUCAGCGGUUUCCUAUAUCUCUCGAUAUGUCACUUUUUCGCACCAUCAUCACAUCCACAGCACUUCCGCUAUUUCUCAUUAGAGAAAAAAAAGAGCACCAC